CUGACCGUGGAUCAGUGGGUGAAACGCGGUGAAAGGACCCAAACAUGGCCGGUUCUCUCCAGUCAGGAGAGAUUGAACAGGCCGUUAUGGCAGGUGUGAGGGGUGCACUCCAAGGUGCAGUUGCACCGGUGCCAUCCACACCAUUAAUGGUCUCCACUCCAGUGGCUCUGCCGCCACUGUCACAUCACUGAGAUCAGUUCCUUUGCCAUCUAUCCCUCAACGUAAUGGGGCUCGAUCAGGAUACUUGGACCGAAGGCAUGUCAAAACAUGCACAAAUGAAGUUGUAUGUUUGUCUUUUUCACCAGAGGUCUUCAUUAUACCCAGAGGAGAAACUCAGACCAACUGAGAGAUGAAAUAAUGGCUGUCUUUAGAAUAGCAUUUGCAUUAUCAGAGCACCAGUCCUUCCAAUUUGAAUUUCCCCUGGGGUGGAAAAAAGUUGCCUCUGUCUGUUCCAGCACUUUUCUGUACAUCAUGGCAGGAAUGGAAGAUGCAGCACAGGUGACCAUGUUAUUGUAUAACUUAGUGUGGUAGAUUCCAACUCAGACAAGAGUUUCAGUCCAAAUGGGUUGUUUCCUGUUCAUUUAACUAAGGGGGAAAAAAUCAUAAUCAUACACAACCAAGAAUGCCUGUUUCCAUACGGCCCAAGGGCAGCGACUCCUGAACCCACAAUCCACACAACCUGGUGAUCCGGUGAGGAGCACAACUGUACCUGAUCACUGAAUCAACCACAGUCCCAACCCCCUUGUAUUACUGUAGCUAGCUUGUACACAAUCCUUUGGAGUUGGUACCUCACUAAUCUUGGUGUGCGGUCCUGCCUUGUACCUGUUCAAGGUUAUAUUGAGUAAUAAUGAGCAAUAAAUACAUUAUUGUAAUCUUAAAGAUCAUCCAUUUGAAGUCCUCUUUACAAUGUCAACAUAUACCUGUGGUACACAUGAUGCAUCAUGUUGACCUCC
Long non-coding RNA from Siniperca chuatsi (mandarin fish), 953 nucleotides. RefSeq lists it as uncharacterized. Lineage: Eukaryota; Metazoa; Chordata; Actinopteri; Centrarchiformes; Sinipercidae. The record is from RefSeq and is a predicted model, not a curated record. The transcript is spliced from 3 exons.